GUGGAUAAAUUAUAUAUAAAUGUAUUAGAUUUGUAUGCGGUUGAAAACUCAAAUUUGGAAUCUAGAAAGUGGUUUUUAUUGCUGAAAAUGCUGAAGCGACAAGUUGGAUUUAAUUGCUUCGGUUUCUGUUUUUUUCGAAGACAUUCUCUUUUUAAGUUUACUGGAUGGAUGAUAACUCAAAUGAUGAUAUGGAUACUUUCAUCAAUUCAGCGAAAGAAAAAUCCAUGUAAUUCAGAAGACAUUUUUAAAAAUAAAGUUUUACUUUGAGUUUGUUCAAUAAAAUGAAACUUUUUUAUAACUAUUGUAAUCAU
Molecule: long non-coding RNA, 311 nt
Organism: Centruroides sculpturatus (bark scorpion)
Lineage: Eukaryota; Metazoa; Arthropoda; Arachnida; Scorpiones; Buthidae
Exons: 3
Source: RefSeq, a predicted model, not a curated record